This 406-nucleotide ribosomal RNA is filed under the name uncultured bacterium. RNAcentral's name for it is "partial 16S ribosomal RNA". It matches the Rfam family "Bacterial small subunit ribosomal RNA", at positions 30 to 526 of the family's 1533-position model. The record is from RNAcentral.
AUUGAACGCUGGCGGCAGGCCUAACACAUGCAAGUCGAACGAGUGGCGGACGGGUGAGUAAUGUCUGGGAAACUGCCUGAUGGAGGGGGAUAACUACUGGAAACGGUAGCUAAUACCGCAUACCAUCGGAUGUGCCCAGAUGGGAUUAGCUAGUAGGUGGGGUAAAGGGUCACCUAGGCGACGACCCCUAGCUGGUCUGAGAGGAUGACCGGCCACACUGGAACUGAGACACGAUCAAGACUCCUACGGGAGGAGGCCGUGGGGAGUAUUGCACAAUGGGCGCAAGCCUGAUGCAGCCAUGCCGCGUGGAUGAGGAAGGCCUUCGGGUUGUAAAGUACUUUCAGCGGGGAGGCGUUACCCACAGAGGAAGCACCGGCUAACUCCGUGCCAGCAGCCGCGGUAAUAC